Long non-coding RNA from Onychomys torridus (southern grasshopper mouse), 226 nucleotides. RefSeq lists it as uncharacterized. The record is from RefSeq and is a predicted model, not a curated record. The transcript has 3 exons. NCBI's taxonomy places the organism in Eukaryota, Metazoa, Chordata, Mammalia, Rodentia, Cricetidae.
AAUAGACUGUGCAUUUCGUGAACUGGAAAAAUUCGAUGUUGUCCAAACUCGGGAUGAGACGACAACCUGGGUAUGUUUCAUCGGCUUUCUGUCAGAGGCCAGAGGACAACUUGCCAGCUUGCCCUGAGAUCCACCGUCUGCCUCUCAGUGCUGGGAUUACAGACAGCCACCAUGACUGCCCAGCUUUAACAUGGUUGCCAGGGCUUCUAAUUCCAGUCACCAUGCC